GUGCUUGCUUCAGCAGCACAUACACUAAAAUUGGAACAAUACAGAGAGAUUAGCAUGGUCCCUGUGCAAGGAUGACAUGCAACUUCAUGAAGCAUUCCAUAUUAAA
This 106-nucleotide small nuclear RNA is filed under the name Jaculus jaculus (lesser Egyptian jerboa). The record is from RNAcentral. Lineage: Eukaryota; Metazoa; Chordata; Mammalia; Rodentia; Dipodidae.